GGCAGAGAUUACAUCCCAAGGCCGUAAAUAUGAUUUUGAUGAGGUUAGCAGAGGCUGUUGCGGCACGGGGUGGCUUGAAACAUCAUUUAUGUGCAACCCCAGGUCGUUCGUUUGCCCGGAUGCCUCCAAGUACGUAUUUUGGGACUCAAUCCACCCAACUGAGAAAUCAUACGGCCUUGUCUUUCAAGCCCGUCGGCCUACGAUUGAUUACAUUGUCAGUGAUUAAUGCUUCCUUCAUUAUUCCUGCGCUAAUUCAAAUUAUACCUUAAGUAAAUGUCUGUCGACUUAAUUAUAUGAAUUAGAAAAUCGCAUCUGAAAAAAGAGUUCAUCUCAGUUUGGUUAUUCGUCAAAUUCGCAAUAAAGAAACCACUUUUACAUUUCAA
Coffea arabica (coffee) is the source of this 383-nucleotide non-coding RNA. Lineage: Eukaryota; Viridiplantae; Streptophyta; Magnoliopsida; Gentianales; Rubiaceae. The record is from RefSeq and is a predicted model, not a curated record.